GAUGCGUUGAUGAGAAGCUAACAUGUGAGGAGGCCUAACUUUGUGUUGGGUUCUCCAGUGAAAUCUACUCGUUACGCUUGGCUUCUGAGCAUC
This 93-nucleotide small nucleolar RNA is filed under the name Olea europaea subsp. europaea. Its description in RNAcentral is "Small nucleolar RNA R24". It matches the Rfam family "Small nucleolar RNA R24". From Rfam's summary of the family: snoR24 is a C/D box small nucleolar RNA which acts as a methylation guide for 18S ribosomal RNA in plants. Lineage: Eukaryota; Viridiplantae; Streptophyta; Magnoliopsida; Lamiales; Oleaceae. The record is from Rfam by way of RNAcentral.